CGUGGCUAACGUGCCCUUGGGACCAGAAUACCCCCGGGAAACUGGGGCUAAUUCUCGAUAGGCGAAGAACUCUGGAAUGAGUCUUCACUUAAAAGAGGCUGCGUUAUGCUCGCAGUUUCGCCCAAGGAUGGGGCCGCGACCGAUCAGGUUGUUGGUGAGGUAAUGGCUCACCAAGCCUUUUACCGGUGCGGGCCGUGGGAGCGGGAGCCCGGAGAUGGGCACUGAGACAAGGGCCCAGGCCCUACGGGGCGCAGCAGUCGCGAAAACUUUGCAAUAAGCGAAAGCUUGACAGGGCUAUCCCGAGUGCCAUCCGCUGAGGAAGGCUUUUACCCAGUCUAGAACGCUGGGGGAAUAAGGAGAGGGCAAGUCUGGUGUCAGCCGCCGCGGUAAUACCAGCUCUUCGAGUGGUGUGGAUGUUUAUUGGGCCUAAAGCAUCCGUAGCUGGCUAGGUAAGUCCCCUGUUAAAUCCACCGAAUUAAUCGUUGGAUUGCGGGGGAUACUGCUUGGCUAGGGGACGAGAGAGGCAGACGGUAUUUCCGGGGUAGGGGUGAAAUCCUAUAAUCCCGGGAAGACCACCAGUGGCGAAGGCUGUCUGCUAGAACGCGCCCGACGGUGAGGGAUGAAAGCUGGGGGAGCGAACCGGAUUAGAUACCCGGGUAGUCCCAGCUGU
This 670-nucleotide ribosomal RNA is filed under the name uncultured archaeon. Its description in RNAcentral is "bacterial SSU rRNA". It matches the Rfam family "Archaeal small subunit ribosomal RNA", at positions 99 to 754 of the family's 1478-position model. The record is from RNAcentral.